CCAAUGAUUAUUAAAUGGCUGCGGUAAUUUGACCGUACAAAGGUAGCAUAAUAAUUAGUCUUUUAAUUAGAGUCUGGAAUGAAAGAUUGGAUGAGAAAAUAACUUUCUUUAUUAUUUUAAUUUGAAUUUGAUUUUUAAGUGAAAAAGCUUAAAUUUUUUUAUGGGACAAUAAGACCCUAUAGAGCUUAAAUUUUUUUAUUAAAAGUAAAUUUUUGGUUUAAGUUGUUUUUUUAAUAAUGAAUUUUUGGUUGGGGUGACAGGUAAAAUUUUUUUGUCUUUAUUUAUUUUAUUCAAUUAUACUUGAUUUUUUUGAUCCUUAAAUUUAAGAUUAUAAGAUAAAGUUACCUUAGGGAUAACAGCGUUAUUUAUUUUAAGAGUUCUUAUCGAUGAAUAAGUUUGCGACCUCGAUGUUGGAUUAAGAUUAGAGAAGGGUGAAGGUUUUUUUAAUUCUAGGUCUGUUC
RNAcentral lists this ribosomal RNA (461 nucleotides) under Hindoloides sp. AJB-2014. RNAcentral's name for it is "partial 16S ribosomal RNA". Lineage: Eukaryota; Metazoa; Arthropoda; Insecta; Hemiptera; Machaerotidae. The record is from RNAcentral.